This 164-nucleotide ribosomal RNA is filed under the name Scrophularia villosa. RNAcentral describes it as "5.8S ribosomal RNA". It matches the Rfam family "5.8S ribosomal RNA". From Rfam's summary of the family: 5.8S ribosomal RNA (5.8S rRNA) is a component of the large subunit of the eukaryotic ribosome. It is transcribed by RNA polymerase I as part of the 45S precursor that also contains 18S and 28S rRNA. Functionally, it is thought that 5.8S rRNA may be involved in ribosome translocation. Lineage: Eukaryota; Viridiplantae; Streptophyta; Magnoliopsida; Lamiales; Scrophulariaceae. The record is from RNAcentral.
AUAACGACUCUCGGCAACGGAUAUCUAGGCUCUCGCAUCGAUGAAGAACGUANCGAAAUGCGAUACUUGGUGUGAAUUGCAGAAUCCCGUGAACCAUCGAGUUUUUGAACGCAAGUUGCGCCCGAAGCCAUUUGGCCGAGGGCACGUCUGCCUGGGCGUCACGC